RNAcentral lists this non-coding RNA (58 nucleotides) under Compsopogon caeruleus. Lineage: Eukaryota; Rhodophyta; Compsopogonophyceae; Compsopogonales; Compsopogonaceae. The record is from RNAcentral.
AAUGAGAUUUUAUCAAUCUGUUUUUUUGUUUUGUUUUUGUUUUUAAAGAGAAUGGGCA